GCCGUCGUCGUCGUAGGCGGGGGGUAGGGGGGAGAGUGUGUUGGGAGCUUUCGGGAGUAGGAGCUUAGCACCCGGGAGUAUUGUGGAAGGGGAGGCCUGAUGUUGUGAAGGUUCGGGCAGGAGAGUACUUGAAUUUAAAGACACCUGAGAGAGAUCCUCGGGUUUACGGGUAUUGGGGAAGAGAGGAUUUCGGAUUUAUGGUUUACAGAUUGAAGCCCUAGGGCCCGGGAGUGGAGCCAGGGUGCGUCCCUGUAUUCUCUUUCGCUGCCCACCUACAGCAGCUUGAUUUACAGCACCACAGAUUAACCUAUACCUCGACUCCUUUAAUUGGGACUCAAGAUGCCAAAGCUGCAAAGAACUGGGUUGCAAUUGGCUAGUUCCUCCCUCAGGUUGGAGAUACAACUGGCUGAGGCUCUCUGGGCCUCGAGAAGCAUUCCCUCACGGGAUUGGUCGCGGCUGCCAAGGACCCGCCUCCUUCGCGCACAGGGUUGAGUAAGGGAUUGUGGGCCCAGAGACCCAGUGCUUUGGCGAACAUGGCGGCGGACCUCGGUCAGAUUCCUGAUGUGGACAUUGAUUCAGAUGGUAUCUUCAAGUACGUGCUGAUUCGAGUCCACUUAGCAGAGCCUUCCGGGGAUCCGGCGAGGGAGUGCAAGGAAAUCGUGCGUGGCUACAAAUGGGCUGAAUACCACGGUGAGGGCGGGGCCUCUGCCCGGUUGGGGGCGGGGCCUGA
Molecule: long non-coding RNA, 730 nt
Filed under: Rattus norvegicus (Norway rat)
Lineage: Eukaryota; Metazoa; Chordata; Mammalia; Rodentia; Muridae
Description: long non-coding RNA NONRATT019051
Source: RNAcentral